RNAcentral lists this ribosomal RNA (429 nucleotides) under uncultured bacterium. RNAcentral describes it as "bacterial SSU rRNA". It matches the Rfam family "Bacterial small subunit ribosomal RNA", at positions 355 to 776 of the family's 1533-position model. The record is from RNAcentral.
UGGGGAAUUUUGGACAAUGGGCGCAAGCCUGAUCCAGCCAUGCCGCGUGAGUGAAGAAGGCCUUCGGGUUGUAAAGCUCUUUCGGCCGGGAAGAAAUCGUGUUCUCUAACAUAGGACAUGGAUGACGGUACCGGACUAAGAAGCACCGGCUAACUACGUGCCAGCAGCCGCGGUAAUACGUAGGGUGCGAGCGUUAAUCGGAAUUACUGGGCGUAAAGCGUGCGCAGGCGGUUUUGUAAGACAGAUGUGAAAUCCCCGGGCUUAACCUGGGAACUGCGUUUGUGACUGCAAGGCUAGAGUACGGCAGAGGGGGGUGGAAUUCCUGGUGUAGCAGUGAAAUGCGUAGAGAUCAGGAGGAACACCGAUGGCGAAGGCAGCCCCCUGGGCCUGUACUGACGCUCAUGCACGAAAGCGUGGGGAGCAAACAGG